GAAAUGCGAUAAUUAAUGUGAAUUGCAGAAUUCAGUGAAUCAUCGAGUCUUUGAACGCACAUUGCGCCCCCUGGUAUUCCGGGGGGCAUGCCUGUCCGAGCGUCAUUGCUGCCCUCAAGCACGGCUUGUGUUUUGGGCUUCCGUCCCUGGCAACGGGGACGGGCCCAAAAGGCAGUGGCGGCACCAUGUCUGGUCCUCGAGCGUAUGGGGCUUUGUCACCCGCUCCCGUAGGUCCAGCUGGCAGCUAGCCUCGCAACCAAUCUUUUUAACCAGGUUGACCUCGGAUCAGGUAGGGAUACCCGCUGAACUUAAGC
RNAcentral lists this unclassified non-coding RNA (314 nucleotides) under plant metagenome. RNAcentral describes it as "partial contains 5.8S ribosomal RNA, internal transcribed spacer 2, and large subunit ribosomal RNA". The stretch from base 1 to 105 matches the Rfam family "5.8S ribosomal RNA", at positions 50 to 154 of the family's 154-position model. The record is from RNAcentral.